CCAGUAUGAUCUACCCUCACUAAGACAACACCAGGCACAGAAAUGGUUCCAGGGGGCUAGAGAUUGAGACGGUCACCAGCCACUGUGCUGUUCUCAGUACUUCGGGGCAGACAGAACAAAGGAGCUAAUAGGGGUCCCAGUGACCGUGAGGGAACGAAGUGACUGCUGCCCCGAGGAAAGAGAAGAAGGUCUCCCAUGCCCAGAGUCCCCGUGGGGGUGUUCCUAGCAUACUGCAUCCAGGAUAAAAGCCAAGAGAGGAUCACACAAACCGCAGGCAGGAGGUACCCCCCAAAAGGGAGAAAUUGCUGAGGAAUGGAGACUCCAGCAGUUGCGGUGCUCACUGGGGGCCCAGGAGCAUCGU
Molecule: non-coding RNA, 361 nt
Filed under: Pongo abelii (Sumatran orangutan)
Lineage: Eukaryota; Metazoa; Chordata; Mammalia; Primates; Hominidae
Source: RNAcentral